UACAGAGGUCUCAAGCGUUGUUCGGAUUCAUUGGGCGUAAAGGGUGCGUAGGCGGCGCGGUAAGUCGGGUGUGAAAUCUUGGAGCUUAACUCCGAAACUGCAUUCGAUACUGCCGUGCUUGAGGACUGGAGAGGAGACUGGAAUUUACGGUGUAGCGGUGAAAUGCGUAGAUAUCGUAAGGAAGACCAGUGGCGAAGGCGGGGCUCUGGACAGUAACUGACGCUGAGGCACGAAGGCCAGGGGAGCAAACGGG
RNAcentral lists this ribosomal RNA (253 nucleotides) under uncultured bacterium. Its description in RNAcentral is "partial 16S ribosomal RNA". It matches the Rfam family "Bacterial small subunit ribosomal RNA", at positions 524 to 776 of the family's 1533-position model. The record is from RNAcentral.